This 2164-nucleotide long non-coding RNA is filed under the name Gossypium barbadense (sea-island cotton). Its description in RNAcentral is "long non-coding RNA (GBAR_LNC004922)". Lineage: Eukaryota; Viridiplantae; Streptophyta; Magnoliopsida; Malvales; Malvaceae. The record is from RNAcentral.
UUGGAAAAUAUAAAUAGAGUCUAAAAGUAAAAAUAUUGAGAAUAUAUAACAAAAUUGACAUUACUUUUUACUGUAUUUAAUACGAAUUACAAAAACAAAUUUACACUGAUUAUAUAAUUUUUACAUAUUCCUUACCUAGUUUUAGUCGAUUUUGACUAUAUGAUUAAAGCUUCAAAUAAUUGAACACACAAAAAUGGCAAUACCCUACUCAUCUCACUCUCUAUGUUAAUGAUGUCCAUCUAUAAAAUAAACAAUUUAAGUAAAAAUUAAUAACAAAAGUAAAUAGAAUAUUAUAACACAAAAUAUUGAAAUCUUACUCCUAUUUUUCGUUGUAAUGACGAUAAAUAUUAGAGCAAUACUCAACUAAUUCACCCAUAGAAAACAUCUUAUGUAGGUAACCUUCAAACCGUUUCUGUUUAAUUGCUUUACGCUUCAAGAGAUGAUCUAGAUUUACAAUAAAACGGAACUUAUCUCCAAACUAAAGGAGCAUCCAAUAUAAACUCGUGACUCACGUGUUUCUAUCCAUUUGGACAUAGGCAAAUAAGUCAACAAAAAAUUUAUGAAAUUAAUGAAAUAGAACUUUUGAAUUAUCGAACUUUAAAAUAAAUAUAUGAAAGAUGAUAUCAACUUACAAGAUUUGAAAAUCGAGCUGAGUAAAAAAAGAUAACGAUUCAGACGUCAUAUUGAAAUUCUUAUAAUUUCGAAUAACAGAUCUAAACAACAAAUUGAUGAUGUAGUUUAUCAAAUAUUUGAACUCAUCAAUAACAACUCUCAUUUGUCUGUUACAUGCAUCUAAAUCGAGUAAAAAUUUUACUCGAGCAUGAAAAUUAGUAAUGAACAUAGACUUUUCCAAAUAUUGCGUGUAAAUACUUUGAUUACCUUUUUUUGCUCAUAUGCAAGCAACAUCCUGAAUGAUUUUACCAAAAUCUUUACUACUAUAACUGAACUACGUAUGCUCAUUUCUAUUUGAAUAAUUAUUUUCCCAUUUCUCCAUCUUUUCUCUUAAAUAAGUAAAACAUUUUUAGAACAUUUUACCGCAAGCAACAAUUUAUCUUUGAUAGUAUACAAGAUAAUGGCGGCACAAUAUGUAAUCGUAAUAAUGUUCAAAUAAAUGUUUGUACACUUUUAAAGCUUUCUAUUUUAUCUUUAUAAGCCAAAAAUGUAGAGUUAAUGCUUGAAAUCUUUAAUACUCCAUAUCCAGUAGUUUGAUAUUACAAUCCGAUUUCCCCAUAGUUAUUGUAAACCAAAAAUAAAAAUUAGACUAAAUCAUAUAACCAAUAACAUGCUAAACAUUAGAGUUGAAAAGAUGCAGUAUAAUCCGAUAGUGUUGAAAGACUAUAGACAGAGCUUAAAAGCAAAAAUAUUUAGAAUAUAUACAUACAUCUUAAGUUACAUACCACCUUGACUUCACCUGAUUAAUUGUUUUUUUUUAUUAGAACUAUAUAAAAUUUAGGUCAAUGUUUGGAACACCUACCAUCAACCACCUAAAUCACAUCCUCUUAAGUUACAUAUUUGUUUUUUAUUAGAACUAUACAUAAUGAAUACUGCUAACAGUAACUGUAUCUGAAUCAAUGAAUUAACAAUAACUAACCAACUCAACAGUUUAAUAGACUCGACUAAUCUAUUUAGCGAUGUUCUAGCAUUAAGCACUGAAACGAACUCGUAGCCGAAGAAUAUUAAACAAGUACAUUGGAAGUAUGGUACAUACAUAACGAGCAAACCAGUGGGACAGCGACGGAGCCGACUGAAGGCUGGAGCUGAGAAACUGACAGAGGAAGCGGGAGACUGACGGGCAGCGGCACUGGAGGUCACUGAGCGAGGUGGGGGGUGUCGUCUCUGUAAAUGUGUGAAUGGGUGGGUGGGGGAACUGAGGUUGCAGAAUUUGCAGAAGGAAGAGAAGCAAAAAGCACGAUGUUGUCCCUCAGAUCUCACCGGAGUUGGUGAGCGGCACUUAAGGGAAGGGGAAGGGGAAGGGGAAGGUGAAGGGGAAAGGGAAAGGGAAUUAGAGGAUCGGGGAGGGUAGGCGAGGGUAGGGUAGGGGAAUAAGGCCAAAGGGGUAUGUUAAAACUUUUAGGUUAAAAUAAUCGGCUAAAAUUUUCUAUUAGUCCCUGUAUUUUAUGACGUUUUUGGAUUCAGUCCCAAUAGUUUAAAUUGGGUAGGAGAG